Molecule: long non-coding RNA, 224 nt
Filed under: Sorghum bicolor (sorghum)
Lineage: Eukaryota; Viridiplantae; Streptophyta; Magnoliopsida; Poales; Poaceae
Description: long non-coding RNA (SBIC_LNC002228)
Source: RNAcentral
UGACCAGGACGUGCUUCUCCUCUGCAUUGAACCUUCAAGCAGCAUGCAUGAGCCAUGGGGUGUGUGGGCGUUCUUCACUCCCCGCCAAUGAAGACCUUGACGGUGGAGUGGAGCAACGUUAUGGGAUUCGGCCCGAACCAACCGAAUUUCGUCCAAUUCGGUGAGACCCGAGAUAAAUCCAAACCGGCCAAAUAAUUUCGGCCCAGUUUGAAUUUCCAGCCCAU